Xiphophorus couchianus (Monterrey platyfish) is the source of this 645-nucleotide long non-coding RNA. RefSeq lists it as uncharacterized. The record is from RefSeq and is a predicted model, not a curated record. NCBI's taxonomy places the organism in Eukaryota, Metazoa, Chordata, Actinopteri, Cyprinodontiformes, Poeciliidae. The transcript has 3 exons.
CGGUUGAGUCGACCCAGCCAAGAUGGAAGCCGGGGAAGACGGGCUCGGUGAAGGUGGUGUGGAAGGUGUGGAGGAGAGUCCGGUCACCACAGGAGACCCUAAAGAAGGACAGCGACCCUGCCGCCCAGUCCAGUUCAGGCCCCAGGAGACGUCAUUGCGGCCCAACCAGCGGUCAUUACCCUCUCCUUUCCUCAACAUCCGUCUGUAGGCCACACCGAUGCAGACCCGCCCGACCCACUCCGUCUCCCAGUAGCAGCGCCCGCCACACAAGUUGACACGAAGUUGCUGCGCCGCUCAGCCACGACAAACUCGCUGAGCAUCAGGGGGUCAGGGGCUUGUGGCUGCAGGGCGUCACGACAACAGGACCUGACGGAGGAGAGACAUUAUUGCUCACUCACUCUCCCCUCCACCCGACAUUCAGUCGGAUUGUUGCUCCAAAGCUGCGGAGAAUGGGAGUGUCAUGACUCAACUCUUGGCCCCGGCCGCCUUGUAAGUUGUCAUGAUGUAACAGAUGGCGUAGUCAUCCUCAUUAGUCACAACAAAGGAAGAAGUCUGGCCUGAAUAUAUCAAAGCUGCUGAGACUCUAAUUUCGCAAACUUGUGUUUACUGGACACGUUUGGAGUUUGUUGCAAAUGAAACAUAAGA